This is a long non-coding RNA of Alosa alosa (allis shad), 696 nucleotides long. RefSeq lists it as uncharacterized. NCBI's taxonomy places the organism in Eukaryota, Metazoa, Chordata, Actinopteri, Clupeiformes, Clupeidae. The transcript is spliced from 3 exons. The record is from RefSeq and is a predicted model, not a curated record.
UUUAGCCUUUAGACUUAGACAGUUUUCAUUCCUUGUAUUUUUUGUUUGUAUUUAAUAAAAGUCCAAAUCCUAACCUAACCUAUUACAAACUCCUAACCUUUGAUUAGGAGUUUGUAAUAAGACCGUCUAGCGUUUUUUUUUCGUAUUUUUCUGCCUCUCCUGUGUUGCUGAGAACCCGGGCCUCCUGCUCCAAAGACUUGACUUCGCUCCAGCUGGAUCCCUCCCCUGGACGAGCCUCGAUGGCUUCCCACUGCUUUAACGCCCAGUCAUCUCGACUGAAAGAGACAGGCCUGACAAAAGAAAACAGCCCAGAACUACCAGACCAGACCAGUGGUGAUGACCGUGUAUGACAUUACAUGUGUGCCUGUCAACCAUACAUCUCUGACAAUGUUGCUAGCAACAUACCUACUAACAUACAUUCUUACAAACAUGUGACCAUAUCUCAACAUAUCUGUGCACAUACCAUUUAACCAUACUGAGACUUAUCUGAGAUCUACACUGAGACAUUCUGAGAACUAUAUUGUUGUGUGAGGACUACUCACUAACUAUAUGGAACAUGUAUACCUGUGUGAAUCAUAUUUGUCAACCAUUCAUAUCUUUGAACCUGUCCUGUGACAUCUAUGAAACUUAGCUGUGCUGUUAGGCCUGAGCUGUGCUGUGUGAAAAAUAAGAUUCUAACCUAAGUUCUGUCUAAAA